RNAcentral lists this ribosomal RNA (501 nucleotides) under uncultured bacterium. RNAcentral's name for it is "partial 16S ribosomal RNA". It matches the Rfam family "Bacterial small subunit ribosomal RNA", at positions 30 to 523 of the family's 1533-position model. The record is from RNAcentral.
AUUGAACGCUGGCGGCAGGCUUAACACAUGCAAGUCGAGCGGAGCGAGGGUGCUUGCACCUUAGCUUAGCGGCGGACGGGUGAGUAAUGCUUAGGAAUCUGCCUAUUAGUGGGGGACAACAUUCCGAAAGGAAUGCUAAUACCGCAUACGCCCUACGGGGGAAAGCAGGGGAUCUUCGGACCUCGCGCUAAUAGAUGAGCCUAAGUCGGAUUAGCUAGUUGGUGGGGUAAAGGCCUACCAAGGCGACGAUCUGUAGCGGGUCUGAGAGGAUGAUCCGCCACACUGGGACUGAGACACGGCCCAGACUCCUACGGGAGGCAGCAGUGGGGAAUAUUGGACAAUGGGCGGAAGCCUGAUCCAGCCAUGCCGCGUGUGUGAAGAGGGCCUUUUGGUUGUAAAGCACUUUAAGCGAGGAGGAGGCUACUUAGAUUAAUACUCUAGGAUAGUGGACGUUACUCGCAGAAUAAGCACCGGCUAACUCUGUGCCAGCCGCCGCGGUAA